RNAcentral lists this long non-coding RNA (1386 nucleotides) under Equus caballus (horse). RNAcentral's name for it is "lncRNA (ENSECAG00000046487.1)". The record is from RNAcentral. Lineage: Eukaryota; Metazoa; Chordata; Mammalia; Perissodactyla; Equidae.
GUAUGAGGAAGAACUUUUCCAGAACGACUGCAAGCAGACCCACCUGCAGCCACACAAUCCAGUAUCAAACUGCAUGGAGUGUGUUGUUGCAUUCCAGGAAACCUAAGCACCCCAAAGCCUGGCAAAGAGAUGGUGCGGACCAGCAACAAACGGAUUAAUUACACGAAAUGAAGGCCCGGGCGGCCGGAGAAAAGAGGAAAGCUAUUUAAACAUCAAAUGUAUUUACUUUUCGCUUAUUAUUAUUAUAGAGGAGGCAUGGCAUGGAGCACUCACAUACAUCCUCUGAGACCGUCGUAGGGUAUUUCGAAAAAGACAUUCAAGUAAUUAAAUGGUUGAGUUGAACAAAUAAUGACCUGAAUACUUUUCCCAAUCCCUAAAAAGAGAUGUUUUUAACACUCUAUGAUUGUCAAAACUAUAUGGAUUUUCUUUAUAUGUCACUUAAUACAUAAAUUAGUUAUAAACGUUUAAAUCACACCUCCUUCAUAUCUUUUUCUCCCAUGUCAGACUGAUGGCAUUGCCUUGAAAAUGCAGCAGCCGUCUUUCAAAAAUAAGCUUUGUAUUCUUCUCGACUGAGUCCACAAAACUGCCAAAUGCAAGUCUGAAACUAGUUUCCAGUUAUUAAACAGUUUCAAAACCAGAAGGUGUGACCACAUAUCUGUGAGCUGACCUUUCUUUAAGAAGCAAGUUUUGCAUUACCAGGGGGAUGUGCGUGGAGUUCCAACAAGCCCCUGGAAGUCGAGCACAGCCGAGCCUCGGUGCUUUCUCUAAUUUUGAAUGGAAAAAGAGAUGCCAAUCACCUUGAAGGGGAGAGAAGAGGAGGUUAUUCUUAACCCACCUACUUUGGACAUUAAAUGGCCCAGGCCCAGCGUGACCUAAAGAAGGAGAUGCAUGUAGGAAUGGGGGAAGCCUGCAAUGAAUCGAGGCUCCCGAAACAUAAAGCCACAGGAUAGAAAGGGCAGAUUUGUAAGAGAGUCGGUGAAGCAAUCUCCUUGCUUGUGAUGAAAACGAAAGAGCAAGAUGACCCCUCUGUGGGAGUCAGUGAUUGAAGGCUGACUGGAGAACCAGGGCCUCUGCGCCAUGCCGUAGUGACAACAAGGAAAACCAGCCUGGAGGCAUGGGCUCCAGAGACGGUCACGUCACCGGGGGUGUGCAUACACACUCUUGUGGCCAGGUCCUCAUCGCUGAACCCCUAUCUUUUUCCAAGAGCAUCCUCUGGAAACUCAAUCCGCCACCAGGCCCUGUGUCAACUGAUUGAUGCUGGGACGGGUUCCCUUCCAGAUGGCAGAUGUGAGGCUGACAUCACAAUGUUUGGAGUUCAAAACUUCUCCCUGAGUGCCUUUGGCUGCCAAUUUAGGAAAAUCCCAGUGUUGAUGGGGAUGUCUCCUG